AUACGUUCCCGGGCCUUGUACACACCGCCCGUCACACCAUGGGAGUUUGUUGCACCAGAAGUAGCUAGCCUAACUGCAAAGAGGGCGGUUACCACGGUGUGGCCGAUGACUGGGGUGAAGUCGUAACAAGGUAGCCGUAGGGGAACCUGCGGCUGGAUCACCUCCUUAA
Molecule: ribosomal RNA, 169 nt
Filed under: Acinetobacter baumannii
Lineage: Bacteria; Pseudomonadati; Pseudomonadota; Gammaproteobacteria; Moraxellales; Moraxellaceae
Description: partial 16S ribosomal RNA
Rfam family: Bacterial small subunit ribosomal RNA
Source: RNAcentral